Molecule: unclassified non-coding RNA, 702 nt
Filed under: Hevea brasiliensis (rubber tree)
Lineage: Eukaryota; Viridiplantae; Streptophyta; Magnoliopsida; Malpighiales; Euphorbiaceae
Source: RNAcentral
CUACACCAAGUUAUGCAAUUCAUUUUUACUUCUUCAUGGGUUUACGCCAUUUUUUUGCAAUUCAUUAUUUUGCUUUCUGGGUAUCUAAGAAAAGAAUUAAAUUUGAAACUCAGUCCUCUCUUUCUGGAAAUCAAAGGUUCUUGUCAAUAAAUUUUGUAAAAAAAAAAUCAACAUUAUUGGUCCUUAGCUACAUAAACUCGGGAUUUUUUUUUGGGAAUUGUACUUGUCAAAAAUUUGGAGAAGGAACUUCAGAACAUAAUUAAAAUUGCCCUAGUCUGUGUUAAUGCGUAAUGGGAAAUCUUCUUCUUCUUUGCUUGUCAAAAAAACAAGUGGAAAUAAUUAAAAGCUAAAUAUGUAUUGAAUAUUUGAUGGUUUAGUUCUGUAAAUAUAGGUGAAUCCAAAUGAUUGCUUUAGUAUUGGGCUAGUAGAGAAUAUAUUCCUUUCGCCUUGUAAAAUUUUAAAAUUUACAACUUCAAUAUGAGUUCUUUUAUUCUGCUGAGUGCUGACUUGCUCAGUUGUUCAUUGUAAUCUGCAAGAAUGUGCUUUAUGUCUUGUGUUCUAUAAAGUUUCUUCGGGCUUCUGAAUCUUUAAUUGAAACUUCUGUGGAGGAUUUCUUUUAGGGUUUUCUAGAGAUGCAUGUCUUGUUAAAAGACCUAUUGAAUUGAACAUUUCUGGCGUCUGUGAGCCCUUGAUAGCUUAUUU